Molecule: long non-coding RNA, 3824 nt
Filed under: Gossypium barbadense (sea-island cotton)
Lineage: Eukaryota; Viridiplantae; Streptophyta; Magnoliopsida; Malvales; Malvaceae
Description: long non-coding RNA (GBAR_LNC023111)
Source: RNAcentral
GCAGGUGCUGCUAAAGAAAAAUUCAUGUUGAGAUUGAGCUGCCCUUGGUCCUCUACGAGUCACACGCGUCACAAUGGGACACAAAUUGGAUAUAUGCGUGUGUAUGCCAAGAUCUACAAGGAUUUUUUAUAGUUGUGGAGGCAAAGCUACGAGAUUCCUCCACUUGGAAGUGUCCACAGGAUUUCCAAGAUUUAACUGCUUUUCUUGAAAUGGGAUUGCUGUUAUACGGGGAUAAAAAUAAAUUUAUAAGAAGUUAAUGAAUGUUUUAAAGAAUGUAUUAAUGUCUUUUUUUUCUACCUAUUUUCACCUAUAUUAUAGUGUGUAAAAGAAUUAUUGGCAAAUGAACAUUGAAAAUACAAUAAAGCUUAAUGAUUGUCUAUAUUUUGCACUGACGAAAACAAUUCACUAAGCGUUGAGCGAAGCAUAGCAAAUAUAUUUAUUCCUAUAAAAAAUUCUGCAAUAAUCCUUUAUAAAACAAUUUAGGAAUAUAAAAUAUAGUGGGUGAAUAGAAAGAAACUUUUGAUGUGUUUUUUUGAUGUGUCGGGUAAAUGAAAUUUGGCUCCUAUUUACAGGAACUCUCAUGUCUUUUCAUAAGAACACAACUAUUUAAAUGGAUAGUCAUAUCUUUUAACAAUAAACAUGAUUAUUCAAUAGAUGUAUCCUUAAAUAAUCACGAUUCAUUAUUAAUAAUAAAGUAAUAUAAUUUUUGAAUUUAAGAGACAUAAUUCAUUAUUAUGAAAUGUGAUAACUUUUGCUUAAUAACUAAGUGAUAUAACUUCCGGUUAUUUAUAAUUUUUCAUUUGUAAUUAUUGAAACACUAUAUAUAUUUUAAAAAUAUUCCAACAAGGAUUAAAAGUAAGAUCACAACUGGAUAAUUGUUUGAUAUAAAAAUAAAAUGAUGAACUCUUUUUCAUAUUUGAACUUUAAAGAUUACUCCUUAACACCCAGUUUGCAAUCAUACAUUUCCUAACAAGAAAGCUUUUAGAUUCAGUUCCCUUUUUUCUCAAAUUUCAAAGCUCCAUCUUCAAAACAAAACCCUAGUGACCCUAGUGAAAGAGAAAUGUUACUGUCAAUUUCAUAAAAGAAAAAUGUAUAUUAUAUGAUUAUAUGUGGAUGAAAGCUCUUCAUUGGAAUUGACUUCAAAAGCAAGAAAAGAACUUUCUCAAUCUUUGUAAAAAGUCCAUCUAUCACAUUCCUAGUUCAUAUUAUGCGAAAAAAGCAAAAAUAAUGUUGAUUUUAAGCAAAUCAUUGCUGCUUUAAGCAUGCAGCUAAAUAGGAAGAGGCUGCUAUAUAAAGAGAUUAAAAAGAACAGGACAUUAAAUUACUUCCUACCGUUCCUUAAUCUAUGUAGUUACUUGAAAGAUGUGACGAUGAAUUUAGAACAUGACUAAUACGCGAUUAAUGAUGACUUUAGAUGGUCAGUGAAAUUGAAAAUAACAAUGGUGGCUAAAUUAAUUAUUGUGGCAAUAAGACUGAUUAUUGAGCGGUGAUAUUAAAAUAAAUUGUGAGAAUGUAUUUAGAUUCAAAUGUAAUUACAAUUGUAAGAUAAGAAUGAGAAUUGACUAUUAAAGACAUUAGACUAAAAAUUAUAUAUAGUAAGAGAUUUAAAUUAUUUUAAUUUUAUGAAAUUAUUAAAAAUAAAUAUAAUUCUAAUUCUACUAAUAAAAUAAUAUGUAUGAUAAUAUUUUUGGAUUUUUGUUCUUGAUAUAACUAUUUAUUGUUUAUUAAAAUAAUUACUUAUAUUAAUCCUAGUGUGUUGAUCAUUAUUUUAUGAUAUUUAAAGUAAAAAAUUUGAAAUAUUUUAAUUAAUUGCUUAGCAAAAAAUAUUUUAAUUAAAGUCAUUUUUUUAUAUAUACUCUUUUUUACAAUUUCAUUUAGAGCAAUUAUCAAGAUAGCCCAACAUCAUUCAACAUUGAAAAACAUUAUUUAAAGAUAAGGGCAAUUUGGACAUUGAAAAAAUACACACAAUUGCACCUAAAAGCUCGAGUGAAAAAUGGCUGGUACGUUCCACCAAUCUCACCACAAUCAAAUAACACACGAACACUAGUUAAAGGGCCUUUUUUUUUUUACAUAAAAAGCUUGGACCACACCUAAAUAUGGCAUCCAAAAAAGCCUAAAUGGAAUUGAAUUAAACCCCGAACUCAAAUUAGCUUUAAACUAAAGCAUUUCAGCCACGUUUUUUUCUGUAUAAGAUUACAAACUAAUCAGACGGUUGAGAUAUGGGUAUUGGAUUUUUAAAAACCUAUGAACACAAUCGUAAGCAUAUUCACACAACUAAAGUUAAAGUAAGGGAGUGGCCUUUAUUUUUUCAGUGCUUUACAAAAUGAUUGGUACUUAAGUUGCACUCAGGAAGCUAGUAGGAAGUUCUUGAUCCUUAUGCUUUUUCCCAUUGACCUCACUCCUCACCUCUCCCAUUAAGUGUUAUCAAAGCACCUUUUAAUUAAACAUUAUAUCAAUAGGUGAAAAGUGUGUUGUUUUUAUUAUCAGAAAAGACAAUUUACUAAUGAAAAAGUUGGGGAAAAAAAAAGAAUAGUGAAAGAGUCAUUUCCAGAGAAGCUAGGUGUCCCCUUUUUUAUGGAAGGAAUCAGCAUUGCUAAUACUUGUAAAUUUACUAGGUGCCUUUUAAACUAUUCUUUAAUGAGACUAGCUUUCUGGGAUUUAGUAGCUAGGUUAUGACCUAUUAAUGGCUUUAUUGUUUAUAGUAGUAAUUAACUUAUAACUUGCCGAAGGAUCAUGUACCUUAAUGGUAUAUCCUUCUUUUAUUAAUUAUUUGAAGUUUUUUUUCUAUCUCCAAUCUUAGCAUGCAAGAAUAGUUCUAAGAGCUACUAAGCUAUAGACAGAGCUUUCUGAGGAUAUGCAUCAGACAUUCUUUUAGGCCAAAUGUGCUAAGGUUAGAUCCAUAAUGGCAACCACUGAUGAUAAAGCAUGAAGAGAAGAGACCUUCCCGUGAUUCAUGUUGUUAUAUAAUAUAAAGCAAAUGAAAGAAAUUUGUUAGGGGAAUGAUAUUUAACUUCAUUGUCCCCAUUCAAUAUUUUAUUAGCAAAAGCCAGAAUUCAAGGGUGGGAAUGGAUAGAAAAUUGAAAAACAAAGGCCUCAUCCAACUCAAUUCCAAAAACCAAUAAAAUACUUGCCAUGACCAUGAAAAUCAUGGAUUAGAUUAACUUCAUGGAGACUUAUAAAGGUUGUACCGGCUUGUGGUUCGAAUUAAAUAUAUAUAUCUCUUUAACAGAAUCUCGGGAUUUGGAGAUUUUUAUACAAAGAAGGUUUCAAUCUAAAGACAAGAAAGAGUUAUAAAUGUUAAGAUUCGUCUCUUUUAACUUAAGGGUGACGGCAUUUAUGAACCACUUGGGUUAAGCCCAGGUUCGGUACAUGAAGCAGAUUAUAUGGCAGCCAUGAACAGCCAAUCCAAUUAAUGGAAUAAUUACGUCACUCAGAAUCUACAACUUUCCUAUUUGAGUUCAAACUUUUAUACAGUGGAUUUUUUGAGACCCAACAAUCGGCAGAAAUCAGUAUUUUAUGUCAACUUUACAUAAUGGAAGCUCUUUAUGUAAUCACCUGCACAGCAUACAACAUAAUAAAUCUACUUUUUUUUUGUCUGUUUCUUGUUUUUUUUCUCUCAGCUAUCAGGGUUUCAGUUGGUUCUAAACGUUUCGAAUCCACAUUCAGAUUAAGUGCACCCUCUCCGUAGGGGAGAAAAACGUAUAAAAUAUUAACUAUGAUGUGAGGAAAUGAAACCACUAGCAGCAGAAAUGUGUUAGUUUAUGGAAAUACCUUUAAAUGGUGGCAUCUAGCAGGUACGGGUCAAAAUCCCAGCAUUUGCAAAC